AGGAGCUUGCUCCCUUGGGUGACGAGUGGCGGACGGGUGAGUAAUGUCUGGGAAACUGCCCGAUGGAGGGGGAUAACUACUGGAAACGGUAGCUAAUACCGCAUAACGUCGCAAGACCAAAGAGGGGGACCUUCGGGCCUCUUGCCAUCGGAUGUGCCCAGAUGGGAUUAGCUAGUAGGUGGGGUAACGGCUCACCUAGGCGACGAUCCCUAGCUGGUCUGAGAGGAUGACCAGCCACACUGGAACUGAGACACGGUCCAGACUCCUACGGGAGGCAGCAGUGGGGAAUAUUGCACAAUGGGCGCAAGCCUGAUGCAGCCAUGCCGCGUGUAUGAAGAAGGCCUUCGGGUUGUAAAGUACUUUCAGCGAGGAGGAAGGCGUUGUGGUUAAUAACCGCAACGAUUGACGUUACUCGCAGAAGAAGCACCGGCUAACUCCGUGCCAGCAGCCGCGGUAAUACGGAGGGUGCAAGCGUUAAUCGGAAUUACUGGGCGUAAAGCGCACGCAGGCGGUCUGUCAAGUCGGAUGUGAAAUCCCCGGGCUCAACCUGGGAACUGCAUCCGAAACUGGCAGGCUAGAGUCUUGUAGAGGGGGGUAGAAUUCCAGGUGUACCGGUGAAAUGCGUAGAGAUCUGGAGGAAUACCGGUGGCGAAGGCGGCCCCCUGGACAAAGACUGACGCUC
Molecule: ribosomal RNA, 682 nt
Filed under: Citrobacter sp.
Lineage: Bacteria; Pseudomonadati; Pseudomonadota; Gammaproteobacteria; Enterobacterales; Enterobacteriaceae
Description: bacterial SSU rRNA
Rfam family: Bacterial small subunit ribosomal RNA
Source: RNAcentral